RNAcentral lists this ribosomal RNA (460 nucleotides) under uncultured bacterium. Its description in RNAcentral is "partial 16S ribosomal RNA". It matches the Rfam family "Bacterial small subunit ribosomal RNA", at positions 338 to 795 of the family's 1533-position model. The record is from RNAcentral.
CCUACGGGUGGCAGCAGUGAGGAAUAUUGGUCAAUGGCCGCAGGGCUGAACCAGCCAAGUCGCGUGAGGGAUGACGGUCCUAUGGAUUGUAAACCUCUUUUGUCAGGGAGCAAAGGGCGCCACGUGUGGCGUUUUGCGAGUACCUGAAGAAAAAGCAUCGGCUAACUACGUGCCAGCAGCCGCGGUAAUACGUAGGGGGCAAGCGUUAUCCGGAUUUACUGGGUGUAAAGGGGGCGCAGACGGCAAUGCAAGCCAGGAGUGAAAGCCCGGGGCCCAACCCCGGGACUGCUCUUGGAACUGCAUGGCUGGAGUACAGGAGGGGCAGGCGGAAUUCCUAGUGUAGCGGUGAAAUGCGUAGAUAUUAGGAGGAACACCGGUGGCGAAGGCGGCCUGCUGGACUGUGACUGACGUUGAGGCCCGAAGGCGUGGGGAGCAAACAGGAUUAGAUACCCGAGUAGUC